RNAcentral lists this ribosomal RNA (500 nucleotides) under uncultured bacterium. RNAcentral describes it as "bacterial SSU rRNA". It matches the Rfam family "Bacterial small subunit ribosomal RNA", at positions 30 to 521 of the family's 1533-position model. The record is from RNAcentral.
AUUGAACGCUGGCGGCAUGCCUUACACAUGCAAGUCGAACGGCAGCGGACCUUCGGGUGCCGGCGAGUGGCGAACGGGUGAGUAAUGCAUCGGAACGUGCCAUUGAGUGGGGGGAUAACGUAGCGAAAGUUACGCUAAUACCGCAUAUUCUGUGAGCAGGAAAGCAGGGGACCGCAAGGCCUUGCGCUCUUUGAGCGGCCGAUGUCAGAUUAGCUAGUUGGUGAGGUAAAGGCUUACCAAGGCGACGAUCUGUAGCGGGUCUGAGAGGAUGAUCCGCCACACUGGAACUGAGACACGGUCCAGACUCCUACGGGAGGCAGCAGUGGGGAAUUUUGGACAAUGGGCGCAAGCCUGAUCCAGCCAUGCCGCGUGAGUGAAGAAGGCCUUCGGGUUGUAAAGGCUCUUUCGGCCGGGAAGGAAAUCGCAUGGGUUAAUACCCUGUGUGGAUGACGGUACCGGAAUAAGAAGCACCGGCUAACUACGUAGCCAGCAGCCGCGGU